This 686-nucleotide ribosomal RNA is filed under the name Listeria monocytogenes. RNAcentral describes it as "partial 23S ribosomal RNA". It matches the Rfam family "Bacterial large subunit ribosomal RNA", at positions 178 to 861 of the family's 2925-position model. The record is from RNAcentral. Lineage: Bacteria; Bacillati; Bacillota; Bacilli; Caryophanales; Listeriaceae.
GGCAGACCCAGGGAACUGAAACAUCUAAGUACCUGGAGGAAGAGAAAGAAAAAUCGAUUUCCUGAGUAGCGGCGAGCGAAACGGAAAGAGCCCAAACCAAGAAGCUUGCUUCUUGGGGUUGUAGGACACUCUAUACGGAGUUACAAAAGAAAGUUAUAAAUGAAGCGGUCUGGAAAGGCCCGCCAAAGACGGUAACAGCCCGGUAGUUGAAAUGGCUUUCCCUCCAGAGUGGAUCCUGAGUACGGCGGAACACGUGAAAUUCCGUCGGAAUCCGGGAGGACCAUCUCCCAAGGCUAAAUACUCCCUAGUGACCGAUAGUGAACCAGUACCGUGAGGGAAAGGUGAAAAGCACCCCGGAAGGGGAGUGAAACAGUUCCUGAAACCGUGUGCCUACAAGUAGUUAGAGCCCGUUAAUGGGUGAUAGCGUGCCUUUUGUAGAAUGAACCGGCGAGUUACGAUUUGUUGCAAGGUUAAGCGGAAAAAGCGGAGCCGUAGCGAAAGCGAGUCUGAAUAGGGCGCAUAAGUAACAGGUCGUAGACCCGAAACCAGGUGAUCUACCCAUGUCCAGGAUGAAGGUAAGGUAAUACUUACUGGAGGUCCGAACCCACGCACGUUGAAAAGUGCGGGGAUGAGGUGUGGGUAGCGGAGAAAUUCCAAUCGAACUUGGAGAUAGCUGGUUCUCUCCG